Molecule: long non-coding RNA, 601 nt
Filed under: Salmo salar (Atlantic salmon)
Lineage: Eukaryota; Metazoa; Chordata; Actinopteri; Salmoniformes; Salmonidae
Description: lncRNA (ENSSSAG00000091302.1)
Source: RNAcentral
AAUCAAUCAGCUUAAUUUCAAAUGAUCUUUCAACUAAAUGAUGUUGCAGAAAUGCUUAUCUUAUCUGUUUCUAACUACAGAAACCAUUUCUGAACAAUCUGAGAUGGUGGAUGUCAUGGACUGCUGAAAUGACAUGACCCUACAGUGUGGGUAAACAGUUCUGUGUGAGCUGAAUCUCAAUCUGCUAUCCUAGGUAGAGUAAAGGCUGAAUCUCAAUCUGCUAUCCUAGGUAGAGAAGAGGCUGAACCUCAAUCUGCUAUCCUAGGUAGAGAAGAGGCUGAACCUCAAUCUGCUAUCCUAGGUAGAGAAGAGGCUGAAUCUCAAUCUGCUAUCCUAGGUAGAGAAGAGGCUGAAUCUCAAUCUGCUAUCCUAGGUAGAGAAGAGGCUGAAUCUCAAUCUGCUAUCCUAGGUAGAGAAGAGGCUGAAUCUCAAUCUGCUAUCCUAGGUAGAGAAGAGGCUGAAUCUCAAUCUGCUAUCCUAGGUAGAGAAGAGGCUGAAUCUCAAUCUGCUAUCCUAGGUAGAGAAGAGGCUGAAUCUCAAUCUGCUAUCCUAGGUAGAGAAGAGGCUGUCAUGGCUGCACUGAGGGGCUUGUGGGGGCAAC